RNAcentral lists this unclassified non-coding RNA (334 nucleotides) under soil metagenome. RNAcentral's name for it is "partial contains 5.8S ribosomal RNA, internal transcribed spacer 2, and large subunit ribosomal RNA". The stretch from base 1 to 119 matches the Rfam family "5.8S ribosomal RNA", at positions 36 to 154 of the family's 154-position model. The record is from RNAcentral.
AUGAAGAACGCAGCGAAAUGCGAUAAGUAAUGUGAAUUGCAGAAUUCAGUGAAUCAUCGAAUCUUUGAACGCACAUUGCGCCCGCCAGUAUUCUGGCGGGCAUGCCUGUUCGAGCGUCAUUUCAACCAUCAAGCCCCCGGCUUGUGUUGGGGACCUGCGGCUGCCGCAGGCCCUGAAAACCAGUGGCGGGCUCGCUAGUCACUCCGAGCGUAGUAAUACAUCUCGCUCAGGGCGUGCUGCGGGUUCCGGCCGUUAAAAAGCCUUAUUUACCCAAGGUUGACCUCGGAUCAGGUAGGAAGACCCGCUGAACUUAAGCAUAUCAAUAAGCGGAGGA